This 601-nucleotide long non-coding RNA is filed under the name Lathyrus oleraceus (garden pea). RNAcentral describes it as "Pisum sativum (pea) long non-coding RNA (PSAT_LNC011489)". The record is from RNAcentral. Lineage: Eukaryota; Viridiplantae; Streptophyta; Magnoliopsida; Fabales; Fabaceae.
AAAGAAUAUAUAGUUGUAAUAUUUUAAACAUCUUUGUGUUUAUAUGCUUGCCAUUGAAAUUUUUUCAUUAUAAUUUGGCAAAGACUCAUAAAUAACUUUGUGAUAGUUGAUGGUAUUGCAGGUUAGAUGUUUGUUGUUUACGAAAAAGAAGAACAUGAUGGCAAAGACUCAACAAGAUGAAGAAAAAUAAUUUCGUAUCCAAAGUCGUCAUCAUAGAGAAAUAAUAGCAGGUUUUUAAUUUUUUUCUCAUGUUGAAAUUUUGAUUGUUUGAAUAUUUCUAAGUUUGCACUCAUAUUUUGUGGAUCUAUUUUUUUCUAUUUUUAUAAGACCAACAACAAGACUCUCUUACCACCAACAAGGCCAACAACAAACUGGGUAGAGAUUGGUGGAAUUUGGAUAUGCUUUGUGUAUUGAAUGAGUGGAUUCUUCGUUUUCUUUGUGUUGCCAUAUAUAUUAUGAUCAUAAAUGAUUUUCAAUAAUUAUUAUAAGGCCGACUUGAAUUUUGUUUACCAUAAACACAAAUUUAUUAAUUAUACAUAUAAUAAUAAUUAUUAAUUAUUACUUCUUACAUACAAAUUUUAAUAUUUUUUUUUAUAAAAAU